This 177-nucleotide unclassified non-coding RNA is filed under the name uncultured Hydnum. Its description in RNAcentral is "sequence contains ITS1". Lineage: Eukaryota; Fungi; Basidiomycota; Agaricomycetes; Cantharellales; Hydnaceae. The record is from RNAcentral.
AUGGGUCACAGAGGGUUGAUGCUGGCAGUUUGGCUGCAUGUGCUCGCUCUUCUGAUUUUAUUUACACCUGUGCACUUAAUUUUUUCAAAGGGAGGGUAGAACCUGCCUUUGGAGCUUUAUAAACCCCCUUGUAUUGGAACAGUGAAUGUUUAUCUGCCAUAAGGCAAAUUUUUAAUA